Planococcus citri (citrus mealybug) is the source of this 1402-nucleotide long non-coding RNA. RefSeq lists it as uncharacterized. Lineage: Eukaryota; Metazoa; Arthropoda; Insecta; Hemiptera; Pseudococcidae. The transcript has 2 exons. The record is from RefSeq and is a predicted model, not a curated record.
CGCAUUCGAAUUUCUCUUGCUUCGGCACGAGCUUGUCGACGGGCAGCUAAACGACAUUCGCCCUGGAAAAGAAAAUAUUGAUAAAUAAAACUGAAAAAACAGUAAAAUGUUGAAAUUACACCUUCUCAGUACAUUUAUAUUAAAUUCUAGAGAAAUACACAUGCAUACGAACUCCUAAAACCUGAGUCGACCUUCAAUUCGACGUGUGAAAGAGUAAAGAGUAUACUGAUUUAACAGGUAAGUUUUUCAUCAUUGGAUUAUGGUUUUGCAUACGAUUUUACUCUAUCAAAUAACAAUGAAUAGGUAAGAUGCCAGGCACUUGAAAGCUCAGAAUUAACACAAUAUUUUCCAAUGCGUAGAAAAAUAAUUCAAAAAAAUUCAAAAAUUUGACAUUUAUCAAACUUUUUGAAUGUAUUUUUUUUGUUGAAAAGUAAAAUAAUCAAGAGAAGAAUAACAUUGCUGGGUAAAUGGAAUAAAACCUUACCUAGUAUAUUAUAAUUACCGGGUAAACGAUUCAAGUAAUACAGCAAUUCCGUCGUAAAAAUUAGAUGAAAGAGACAAUAUGUGAAUUUUUCAGCACUCGCGACACCAUUAAUUUAAUAAUGACAAUACGAACACAAAAGGAACGUCUAUUCUUGUGCCAAACACAAAUGAAUAACAGCAAUAACAACUCUAAUGCGACAGUCAGCGUUAAUUUUCAACAAUACAUACGAUUCAACCGACGACACGUAUUCGUUAAUAAAUUUCAAUUUACAUAAUUUUGAGUUUAAAUGAAGGUGCAAAAUAAUUCAUCGAAUAUCUAGAUUACCAUUACACUUCCCAAAACGCAAAUACGAUCAACACUAUGGAUAAAUAAUCACGAGGCACACCUAAGAACGUCAAGAUUCAGAUAACUCUUUUCCUCUACUCGAAAAAAACACAACGCCACUCGUCAAAACCACGAUAACGAAAUGAUAACGCAGAAGAGCUUUCAGUGCACGAGUAUUAUUGAUGUUUAGUGAAAGAUUACAGUGAAAUUCAAGAUGAUUUCGACGACCAAGUGAGAAUUUUAAUCAUGAAUCACGCUCUCGAUGAUUUUCGUGAAUUCACGAACGAUGCAUUUAUCAAAAAUUUUAUACCUGUUUAGCGAUUUGAUCCAGAGCUUGAUCUUCGAUGGUGUGAUUACUAGGCGCCCUUUUACGGCCACCGAUGGCGUAACUGUCCAUGAUGUAUUACUGCUCCAUUCAAUAUUAGUCAUACCACUGAUAUUUUACGAGUGAAACAACUGAAACAGACAAAUAUGCGGAGGUAAAAUAAAUGUGUUUAUUUUUACGAAUUACUAAUGCAAAGAUGAAACACCACUAUCAACACCACACACGCUUAUGAUUAUAUUCUAUUACUUAAUAAGUGAAAUAAUUUCCUA